GGGGGGUGGGGGAGGGGGGAUCCAGUCCAGGUGUGCGGGGGAGGGGCCCAGGGGGGGUCCCAGUGAUGGGGGAGGGGCCCAGGUGGGCUCCAGGUGUCCAAGGAUGGUCCCAGGUGAGUCCCAGGAGCGGUUCCAGGUCUGCAGGUGGGUCCCAGGUGGGUCCCAGGUGGGUCCCAGGUAUCUGAGGAGGGUCCUGGGUGGGUCCAGGUGGGUCCCAGCGAUGGGGGGAGGGGCCCAGGUGAGCUCCAGGUGUCCAAGGAGGGUCCCAGGUGUCCCAGGGGGGUCCCAGGUGUUCCAGGUGAGCUCCAGGUGAGCUCCAGGUGUCCCAGGGGGGUCCUGAGUGGGUCCCAGGUGAGUCCCAGCAAUGGGGGAGGGGCCCAGGUGAGCUCCAGGUGUUCAGGGAGGGUUCCAGGUGUUCCAGGUGAGCUCCAGGUGAGCUCCAGGUGUCCAAGGAGGGUCCCAGGUGUCCCAGAGGGGUCUCAGGUGAGCUCCAGGUGAGCUCCAGGUGUCCAGGGAGGGUUCCAGGGGGGUCCCAGGUGAGCUCCAGGUGAGCUCCAGGUGUUCCAGGUGAGCUCCAGGUGAGCUCCAGGUGUUCAGGGAGGGUCCCAGGGGGGUCCCAGGGGGUCUCAGGUGAGCUCCAGGUGAGCUCCAGGUGUC
This is a long non-coding RNA of Poecile atricapillus (Black-capped chickadee), 657 nucleotides long. RefSeq lists it as uncharacterized. NCBI's taxonomy places the organism in Eukaryota, Metazoa, Chordata, Aves, Passeriformes, Paridae. The transcript has 3 exons. The record is from RefSeq and is a predicted model, not a curated record.